GGACAGCUGGCCGAGUGGUCGAAGGCGCUCGCCUGGAACGCGGGUAUAGGGUAACCUAUCUAGGGUUCGAAUCCCUAGCUGUCCACCA
This 88-nucleotide transfer RNA is filed under the name Campylobacterota bacterium. RNAcentral describes it as "tRNA-Ser". It matches the Rfam family "tRNA". Rfam says of the family: Transfer RNA (tRNA) molecules are approximately 80 nucleotides in length. Their secondary structure includes four short double-helical elements and three loops (D, anti-codon, and T loops). The record is from RNAcentral. RNAcentral also lists the same sequence under 2 other names. Lineage: Bacteria; Pseudomonadati; Campylobacterota.